AAAGCUUUAGUUAAUUUUAUAACGUCGGCCUGUCAGACCGAAGUGACAAGUUAAAGUCUUGUAAGUUUUA
Molecule: transfer RNA, 70 nt
Filed under: Holothuria hilla
Lineage: Eukaryota; Metazoa; Echinodermata; Holothuroidea; Aspidochirotida; Holothuriidae
Description: tRNA-Asp
Rfam family: tRNA
About the family: Transfer RNA (tRNA) molecules are approximately 80 nucleotides in length. Their secondary structure includes four short double-helical elements and three loops (D, anti-codon, and T loops).
Source: RNAcentral